Humulus lupulus (European hop) is the source of this 614-nucleotide long non-coding RNA. RefSeq lists it as uncharacterized. NCBI's taxonomy places the organism in Eukaryota, Viridiplantae, Streptophyta, Magnoliopsida, Rosales, Cannabaceae. The record is from RefSeq and is a predicted model, not a curated record. The transcript has 4 exons.
AAAAGAGAAAACUCUCUUCAUUUUCCUCCCCAAAAUCGAGAGGUCUCUCUUCCCUCUCCAUUUUCUACCAUUUUUCUCUCCAAGGAGCAAGAGCUCUCACUCUCCAUUGAAGGAAGGAAGAAAACUCAAGAGCACACUAGGCAAGUGGUUCAAGAGUGGUGGUUCUAGGAGGAUCUCAAAGAUUUGAAACUUGUUGAUGUUUUAGUGAGAACAAAGAACAUAAGGAGGAAGUUUGAAAGGCUAAGGGAACCUUAUGUCCAAGCUUGAACUAUCAAAGGUAGGCUCAAAGACAAAGUGGAUCAGUGAGCGCUGGAGUUUAUCUGCGAGAAUGUACAUGUGGACCGACCUUUUGGGAAUUUAUGUUUUGUGGACUAGAACCCAUAUGAUAACUAAGAAAUUAUUUUGGGUUUGUUGAAUGUUUUAAAAUUAUGACAUUGUAAUUUUCUUUUAAGUAUGCGCAUACUUCCGAACUAUUGCAUGUUUUGAAAGUUUUUUUUUUAUAUGGAUUUUCUGUUACCUUAUUUUAGAAAAUGGUUGUAAUGCCCUGAAAAUCCCUAAUGCGGUUUAAUGGCUGGAUUAGUAGGCCGGGAGGGCCAUAACUGUUUAAUUAUGCC